GACGAACUUUGGCGGCGUGCUUAACACAUGCAAGUCGAACGGAAAGGCCCUGCUUUUGUGGGGUGCUCGAGUGGCGAACGGGUGAGUAACACGUGAGUAACCUGCCCUUGACUUUGGGAUAACUUCAGGAAACUGGGGCUAAUACCGGAUAGGAGCUCCUGCUGCAUGGUGGGGGUUGGAAAGUUUCGGCGGUUGGGGAUGGACUCGCGGCUUAUCAGCUUGUUGGUGGGGUAGUGGCUUACCAAGGCUUUGACGGGUAGCCGGCCUGAGAGGGUGACCGGCCACAUUGGGACUGAGAUACGGCCCAGACUCCUACGGGAGGCAGCAGUGGGGAAUAUUGCACAAUGGGCGGAAGCCUGAUGCAGCAACGCCGCGUGCGGGAUGACGGCCUUCGGGUUGUAAACCGCUUUCGCCUGUGACGAAGCGUGAGUGACGGUAAUGGGUAAAGAAGCACCGGCUAACUACGUGCCAGCAGCCGCGGUGAUACGUAGGGUGCGAGCGUUGUCCGGAUUUAUUGGGCGUAAAGGGCUCGUAGGUGGUUGAUCGCGUCGGAAGUGUAAUCUUGGGGCUUAACCCUGAGCGUGCUUUCGAUACGGGUUGACUUGAGGAAGGUAGGGGAGAAUGGAAUUCCUGGUGGAGCGGUGGAAUGCGCAGAUAUCAGGAGGAACACCAGUGGCGAAGGCGGUUCUCUGGGCCUUUCCUGACGCUGAGGAGCGAAAGCGUGGGGAGCGAACAGGCUUAGAUACCCUGGUAGUCCACGCUGUAAACGGUGGGUACUAGGUGUGGGGUCCAUUCCACGGGUUCCGUGCCGUAGCUAACGCUUUAAGUACCCCGCCUGGGGAGUACGGCCGCAAGGCUAAAACUCAAAGGAAUUGACGGGGCCCCGCACAAGCGGCGGAGCAUGCGGAUUAAUUCGAUGCAACGCGUAGAACCUUACCUGGGUUUGACAUGGAUCGGGAGCGCUCAGAGAUGGGUGUGCCUCUUUUGGGGUCGGUUCACAGGUGGUGCAUGGCUGUCGUCAGCUCGUGUCGUGAGAUGUUGGGUUAAGUCCCGCAACGAGCGCAACCCUUGUUCACUGUUGCCAGCACGUUAUGGUGGGGACUCAGUGGAGACCGCCGGGGUCAACUCGGAGGAAGGUGGGGAUGACGUCAAGUCAUCAUGCCCCUUAUGUCCAGGGCUUCACGCAUGCUACAAUGGCUGGUACAGAGAGUGGCGAGCCUGUGAGGGUGAGCGAAUCUCGGAAAGCCGGUCUCAGUUCGGAUUGGGGUCUGCAACUCGACCUCAUGAAGUCGGAGUCGCUAGUAAUCGCAGAACAGCAACGCUGCGGUGAAUACGUUCCCGGGGCU
This 1346-nucleotide ribosomal RNA is filed under the name uncultured bacterium. Its description in RNAcentral is "bacterial SSU rRNA". It matches the Rfam family "Bacterial small subunit ribosomal RNA", at positions 28 to 1381 of the family's 1533-position model. The record is from RNAcentral.